GUAGGUGGCAAGCGUUGUCCGGAAUUAUUGGGCGUAAAGCGCGCGCAGGCGGGUCCUUUAAGUCUGAUGUGAAAGCCCACGGGCUCAACCGUGGAGGGUCAUUGGAAACUGGGGGACUUGAGUACAGAAGAGGAAAGCGGAAUUCCAAGUGUAGCGGUGAAACGCGUAGAGAUUUGGAGGAACACCAGUGGCGAAGGCGGCUUUCUGGUCUGUAACUGACGCUGAGGCGCGAAAGCGUGGGGAGCAAACAGGAUUAGAUACCCUGGUAGUCCACGCCGUAAACGAUGAGUGCUAAGUGUUAGGGGGUUUCCGCCCCUUAGUGCUGCAGCUAACGCAUUAAGCACUCCGCCUGGGGAGUACGGCCGCAAAGGCUGA
RNAcentral lists this ribosomal RNA (375 nucleotides) under uncultured organism. RNAcentral's name for it is "partial 16S ribosomal RNA". It matches the Rfam family "Bacterial small subunit ribosomal RNA", at positions 527 to 897 of the family's 1533-position model. The record is from RNAcentral.